GAUGAACGCUGGCGGCAUGCCUAACACAUGCAAGUCGAACGGGAAGACGUGUAUCCAGUGCCGUUCGGGUUAGCAACGCGCGGGAACGUGACCUGUGGAUGGGAACCUCAUCUGGCAAGGGCUGCUACUAACCCGUAGGUAGAGUAGCAAAGGAUAGAAUCCGCCGGAGGAGGCGCUCGGGUUUGAUUAGUUAGUUGGUUGGGCAAUAGGUUACCAAGUCGAUUAUCAGUAGCUGACCCGAGAGGACGAUCGGCCACACUGGGACUGAGCCACGGGCCAGACUCCGACUGGAGGAAGCAGUAGGGAACAUCGGGCAACGGGCGUAAGCAUGAUGCAGCAAUGCGGCGUGGGUUAAGAAGGCCUUGGGGUGGUAAAGCACUGUUGUUAGGGAAGAAGAACUGCUUUUCAAGGAGAAGAAGUAAUGACGGUACCUAAAGAAUAAGCACCGGCUAACUCCGUG
This 460-nucleotide ribosomal RNA is filed under the name uncultured bacterium. Its description in RNAcentral is "partial 16S ribosomal RNA". It matches the Rfam family "Bacterial small subunit ribosomal RNA", at positions 28 to 507 of the family's 1533-position model. The record is from RNAcentral.